Molecule: unclassified non-coding RNA, 250 nt
Filed under: Penicillium sp.
Lineage: Eukaryota; Fungi; Ascomycota; Eurotiomycetes; Eurotiales; Aspergillaceae
Also listed under: 1 other name
Description: partial contains small subunit ribosomal RNA, internal transcribed spacer 1, and 5.8S ribosomal RNA
Rfam family: Eukaryotic small subunit ribosomal RNA (bases 1-46)
Source: RNAcentral
AAGUCGUAACAAGGUUUCCGUAGGUGAACCUGCGGAAGGAUCAUUACCGAGUGAGGGCCCUCUGGGUCCAACCUCCCACCCGUGUUUAUUUACCUUGUUGCUUCGGCGGGCCCGCCUUAACUGGCCGCCGGGGGGCUCACGCCCCCGGGCCCGCGCCCGCCGAAGACACCCUCGAACUCUGUCUGAAGAUUGUAGUCUGAGUGAAAAUAUAAAUUAUUUAAAACUUUCAACAACGGAUCUCUUGGUUCCG